Molecule: ribosomal RNA, 497 nt
Filed under: uncultured bacterium
Lineage: Bacteria
Description: bacterial SSU rRNA
Rfam family: Bacterial small subunit ribosomal RNA
Source: RNAcentral
AACGAACGCUGGCGGCGUGGAUAAGACAUGCAAGUCGAACGGGAUCAUUGAGGUAGCAAUAUCGCGAUGGUCUAGUGGCGAACGGGUGCGUAACACGUGGAUACAUUCCGGGAAGCGGGGAUAGCCCAGGGAAACUUGGAUUAAUACCGCAUGUGGUCGAAAGACUAAAGGCAGGGACCGCAAGGCCUGCCACUUCCCGAUUGGUCCGCGGCCUAUCAGCUAGUUGGCGGGGUAAAAGCCCACCAAGGCUACGACGGGUAGCUGGUCUUAGAGGACGACCAGCCACACUGGAACUGAGACACGGUCCAGACACCUACGGGUGGCAGCAGUCGAGAAUCUUUCACAAUGGGGGCAACCCUGAUGGAGCGACGCCGCGUGGAGGAUAAGGUCUUCGGAUUGUAAACUCCUGUCAUGUGUGAACAAGGCUGCCGUGUUAAUAGCAUGGCAGAUUGAUGGUAACACAAGAGGAAGAGACGGCUAACUCUGUGCCAGCAGCC